AUCUUCUUAAGUUCUUCUGCCAUUGGGAUUGUAUGGUAUGGUGAGAGCUUGAUCUGCCCUUCUUGCAGUAGCAAGUCGAAAAUCUUAUCAGCCUUGGAGAUAUCGAACCCGAAUUCUUAGGUUCCUUCUUGCUGUAUGGGCAUGAGAUCAGCUUUUUGGUCUUAACCCAUUCUGCCAAACCGAUCUCUACCUCUUCCUCUGAGUCCAAACAUUCUACGUA
This 220-nucleotide long non-coding RNA is filed under the name Setaria viridis. Its description in RNAcentral is "long non-coding RNA (SVIR_LNC003674)". Lineage: Eukaryota; Viridiplantae; Streptophyta; Magnoliopsida; Poales; Poaceae. The record is from RNAcentral.